UACAGAGGAGCCAAGCGUUGUCCGGAUUUACUGGGCGUAAAGCGCACGCAGGCGGUUGGUUAAGGCUGCUGGUAAAGCCCCGAGCUCAACUUGGGAAUGGCAUUGGAAACUGGCUGGCUAGAGUGUGGCAGAGGGGGGUGGAAUUCCGCGUGUAGCAGUGAAAUGCGUAGAGAUGCGGAGGAACACCGAUGGCGAAGGCAGCCCCCUGGGCUGACACUGACGCUCAGGCACGAAAGCGUGGGGAGCAAACAGG
This 253-nucleotide ribosomal RNA is filed under the name uncultured bacterium. Its description in RNAcentral is "partial 16S ribosomal RNA". It matches the Rfam family "Bacterial small subunit ribosomal RNA", at positions 524 to 776 of the family's 1533-position model. The record is from RNAcentral.